This 326-nucleotide small RNA is filed under the name Drosophila pseudoobscura pseudoobscura. RNAcentral describes it as "GA31365". Lineage: Eukaryota; Metazoa; Arthropoda; Insecta; Diptera; Drosophilidae. The record is from RNAcentral.
GCGUAAAAGCUUACCGCACUGUUGCCAAGGCGUAGGCCUGUCGCCUGAGAAGUACAAAACUUAGAUUUGUUUAUAAGAGGCAAAACGGGUUUCGUAUUUCAGACAGACCGCAUACAAGGCAGAUCAGAGACGCCAUGGAAAAUAACCUUAGCUCUGUACCAAUGGAAGGCUGCGGCUGAUCGAUUUGAAGGUAUUUCUGUGGAGUGGAGGUUUUUUGCCCCGAAUACGAAACAAGUUCGAUAAGAAAACUAUUUUUGAGUGGGUUGCAAAUAUCAUUGUAAGCCAAAAUCAAAAAAAAAAAACUACUUUACUUUGUCCAGCUUUAA